Molecule: long non-coding RNA, 2932 nt
Filed under: Olea europaea subsp. europaea
Lineage: Eukaryota; Viridiplantae; Streptophyta; Magnoliopsida; Lamiales; Oleaceae
Source: RNAcentral
GUAACUUUUUCAGCUUUGCGACAGUGAUUGAAGGGCUGGACGAGGAGCACAUCGAGAUACUCCAUCGAUCGUUUUUAUGGUCCUUCUAUCCAUUGAAGGGCGUGCAAUUCUCUGGACAGAUUAUUGAUUCCUUAUUACUCCGGCUGCUUAAACCAGUUGAUGACGAUCAGCUUUAUUUUGCUAUGGGGGACGGGAAGGUAUCGAGAUUCUCGAUCCUUGAAUUUGCCCUCAUUACAGGUUUGAGAUGUACUGGAGAAGAAGAAGUGAGAACUCGUAUUAUACCAAAUAAAAGGUUAUUGAAUUUAUGUUUUGGAGGUAAAGGGCCGGUUACACCACCACAGUUAGAGGACGCAUUUAGGAGAUGCGAUCACAUGUUAGACAAGUUGAAGUUAGGUUUGGUGUAUAUAUUGGAGAGUAUAUUGAGGUGUCGACAUCGUAGGACGUCGAUUGACCUUUUUUCAUUGGAUGUUGUUGAUGAUAUCGAUGCUUUCAACAGCUUUUCAUGGGGUCGGAGAUGUUACACCGAUACUCUUCACGUAUUUAGAAGGGUACAUACUAUGCCGAAAUCGGAAAUGGGCGAGCGCAAAUAUGAUGUAUAUGACUUUAGCAUGGCUUUGCAGGUAAAUAUUCAACUUAAUGUAAUGCGUGUUAAACUUUUUUAUUAAAUAGAUAAGUUUUUUUUUUGGCAGUUGUGGGCAUAUGAGGUUAUCCCUACUUUGGGUAGCAAAUGGGCGAUCAGAAGGGAGACUAACUGCCCACGAAUGCUUCAUUGGCGAGCACAUGAGAAGCCAUCGGCUAAGAUUUGACAGUUAUCCUCAACGAUCCUCAGGUGAGUAUUGUAUAUUUGCAAUUUAUAUUGUACGUACAUUUAUUCGGCUUGAUACUUGUUCGUUAACACGUUGAAAUAUGAUAUGUCAACUCGAAGUUCAUGCUGAGUUGGUUGUUUCGAUGAAAGAAGAAGAUCAAAUAUAUGUACGUGAAUUACAUGUUCCACCUACUGAAAACGAUCCAGUGUUUGAGUCUGUUCCGAAUAGAAAUAGAGUAUGUUUAUUUAAAAUCAUUAUUUAUUUUGACUUAUAAUAUUUAUGUGUGAAUUAUUAAUAUUAAUUGUCUUCUCUGUGUAGGAGCGUCAUCUAGUAGAACGACGAGCAUUUUCACUUAGGAGAUUUCCUUCACAUCCACCGAUGAGAUCUCCGUCGCCUCCACUGAUGAGAUCACCUCUACCGCCAUUAUCACAUUCUCCGAGGAGAUCUCCAUCUCGCGCACCCACCCAUCUCUCACGUGGAUCGCCUGCACCUAGUCAGACCCGUCAUUCAGAUGAUUUCUUUGCACGCAUGACUGGUAUUAUUAGAGAGGAGUUGGGAAUGAUGCGACGUGAUUUUACGACAGAGGUAGUAGCACUACGAGAGGAGAUAGGGUUGUUGCGACGGGAUUUUACGAUAGAGGUAGUAACACUACGAGAUGAGAUUGGAGUGCUGCGAUGAGAUAUAGGAGACCUUCAUACCGAAGUUGCAGCACUUCGAGGUGGAGGUGCAGGAGGAGGCCGAGAUAGAGGGGAUGGAGGAAGGGACGGGUGUCGGAGGGGGUGACCGAGGAGGUAGCGGAGGGGAUACCAGAGGUGGUAGUAGAGGGGGUUGCAGAGGGUGAGAAGACGCCAGAGAUGACAGAUGACGAUGUAAUAUUUGUGUCGGAGGGGGUGAUGGAGGUGCCGAAGGGUAAGAAGCGUGCUAAUGACGCGCCAGAGCUGAUGGUCGGUAAGAGAUCGAGAUUGUCAUCACAGUACAUCGUCUCCCCAUACACGAUCGAGGCGAAGAGAAGGGGUUUUGUUGAUGGGACGUUUCCCAAUCUUUUUUGUGACGUCGACCUGGUGAUUGGUUCAAAUCCCUUAAGUUCGAGUAAGUAUUUUAUUAUUUUGCUACUCUUUUUUUUGUUUUUUCGUAACUUUUUUUCAUUUUUCUGAGAUAGCUAUACCAUCAACAGUAUGAUUGUGCUCAACGCUAAAAAGUGGUUCGAAAAUGUAUUGACGACCUCAGCUUGACUCGCCGAUGAUGUAAGUUUUUUGAGUUUCCAUUUAUUAUGUUUAUAGAAGUUGUUGGUUCAUUUACUUAAACGACUUUAUCUUUUUGUUGGUGUUUUUUUGUAUCAGCAUAUCAACUUGGUUAUGGAAUUGUUACGCAAUCGGGCUCGGAGAUACCCGAGAUCUUAUGACAGUCCUAGUCGAGUUAUCCUAAACUCUGAGUUUGUGUGGUAGAUAUUGAGCAUCACGAGCUCCUAAGCAAGAGGAAUGAAUAUGUUCUGUCUGAGUACAUGCUGGAGUGGAUGAUCGGGCUACAGCUGAGGUGCGGAAAGUCGUGGACGGAUUGUACAUGUAUGUACAUUCCAGUGAUCGCGAACUCACACUGUUUUUCAAUGGAGAUCGUAUUUGCUGAUUCCACUAUGUAUGUGUACGACUCUUAUCAUAGCUGUCUGACACAAAGUCAACUGGAGCAAAUAUUGGAGCCAAUAGCUGUGAUCGUGCCCAUGAUGGCUAGUCAUGCGAUGAUCGAGCAAAUGACAAAUUAGUCAUUGUGCAGAACGUGACGACGACAAGACAAGAAAGAUCGUAAGGAUUUAAAACUUUUUAAUUUUAAGAUUUAAUUUUCAGUUAUAUGUUAUCGAACUAAUAUAUUUUUCUUCGGUUACAGGGGCAACUGUGACUUAUUUGCAAUAAAGUACAUAGAAUUUUUUAGCAUUGGUUGCAAUGUUGAUACAAUAAAUCAGUCUUGGAUUGAUACGUGGAGGCAUAAAUUAGCUUGUGAUUGUGAUCCUUAGUGCAUUGUAUAUUAUUUUAUUAAAAUGUAAAUGUUGCUUACUUCAGUAUGAUUCGUGUUGUAAUGUAAUAACUUUUUUAAAUAUUUAAUUAGAGAAAUACUUAAAUGAAAACUUGUAGUAA